AUAGCUGGUUCUCCCCGAAAUAGCUUUAGGGCUAGCCUCAAGGUGAGAGAUACGGAGGUAGAGCACUGAAUGUCCUAGGGGGUAUUGCACCUACCGAAGACUAUCAAACUCCGAAUGCCGUCAUCUUAUACUUGGGAGUCAGACUGUGGGUGAUAAGAUUCAUAGUCGAAAGGGCAACAGCCCAGAUCGUCAGCUAAGGUCCCUAAAUGUAAGUUAAGUGGUAAAGGAUGUGGGAUUGCACAGACAACCAGGAUGUUGGCUUAGAAGCAGCCACUCAUUCAAAGAGUGCGUAAUAGCUCACUGGUCGAGUGAUCCUGCGCCGAAGAUUUCCGGGGCUAAAACUUACUACCGAAGCUACGGCAUCAGUAAUGAUGGGUAGGGGAGCUUCCCAUACGGGUUGAAGCAUGACCGUAAGGACAUGUGGACAGUAUGGGAGUGAGAAUGUUGGCAUGAGUAGCGAGAUGUGGGUGAGAAUCCCACAGGCCGUAAACCCAAGGUUUCCAGGGGAAGGUUCGUCCGCCCUGGGUUAGUCGGGACCUAAGCUGAGGCCGAAAGGCGUAGGUGAUGGACAACAGGUUGAUAUUCCUGUACUACCGAUAACCGUUUGAGAGANGGGAUGACACAGUAGGAUAAGCUAAGCACACUGUUGGUUAUGUGUGCCCAAGCAUUGAGGCAGUCAAAGUAGGCAAAUCCGCUUUGAUAAUGCUGGGAUGUGAUGGGGAGCGAAAUUUAGUAGCGAAGUAGCUGAUUUCACACUGUCAAGAAAAGUCUCUAUCGAGGUUAAAGGUACCCGUACCGCAAACCGACACAGGUGGGUGAGGAGAGUAUCCUAAGGCCAGCGAGAGAACUGUUGUUAAGGAACUCGGCAAAAUGACCCCGUAACUUAGGGAUAAGGGGUGCCACCAUCAGGUGGCCGCAGAGAAUAGGCCCAAGCGACUGUUUACCAAAAACAUAGGUUUCUGCUAAGUCGCAAGAUGAUGUAUAGGAGCUGACGCCUGCCCGGUGCUGGAAGGUUAAGGGGAUCUGUUAGAGCAAUCGAAGCAGUGAACUUAAGCCCCAGUAAACGGCGGCCGUAACUAUAACGGUCCUAAGGUAGCGAAAUUCCUUGUCGGGUAAGUUCCGACCCGCACGAAAGGCGUAACGAUUUGGGCACUGUCUCAACAACAGACUCGGUGAAAUUGUAAUUCCGGUGAAGAUGCCGGAUACCUGCGACAGGACGGAAAGACCCCAUGGAGCUUUACUGUAGCUUGACAUUGGGUCUUGGUACUACAUGUACAGGAUAGGUGGGAGGCUUUGAAACCAGGACGCCAGUUUUGGCGGAGCCAUCCUUGGGAUACCACCCUUGUAGUACUGGGACUCUAA
This 1362-nucleotide ribosomal RNA is filed under the name Clostridioides difficile. Its description in RNAcentral is "bacterial LSU rRNA". It matches the Rfam family "Bacterial large subunit ribosomal RNA", at positions 845 to 2225 of the family's 2925-position model. Lineage: Bacteria; Bacillati; Bacillota; Clostridia; Peptostreptococcales; Peptostreptococcaceae. The record is from RNAcentral.